Molecule: regulatory RNA element, 113 nt
Organism: Pseudomonas syringae pv. tomato str. DC3000
Lineage: Bacteria; Pseudomonadati; Pseudomonadota; Gammaproteobacteria; Pseudomonadales; Pseudomonadaceae
Source: Rfam
CGGCUGAGCUCUGUCGCUGAUCCGGGGGAUGCGAGGCAGGACGCCGAGCAAGCCGCACCGGGCCAAGGAUGGCCCGUUGCGGCGGCCCCCGGAUCAGUGGCAGGGCGAAGGAA